RNAcentral lists this unclassified non-coding RNA (989 nucleotides) under Daphnia pulicaria. Its description in RNAcentral is "uncharacterized LOC124318103, transcript variant X2". The record is from RNAcentral. Lineage: Eukaryota; Metazoa; Arthropoda; Branchiopoda; Diplostraca; Daphniidae.
AGAGAGAGGAAAUCUGUCUGUUUGCAUAGGACAUGCAACUUUUUGUACCAACCAGUCUACACACAUCGAUGUCAACCCAUAUCAUCUAAAUAACCGGUUUUUGUAGGCAUACUCGGCCAGCAGACGAAAAAACGAAGCAGACGGAUCCCUCAAUCACAAUAAACGAAAGAGGUUGUAGAGUUGGAAAAAAAACCCCGAUCAAAUGCUGGCACUAGCUCCAAGUUUUCGCGAUAGACUUCCGAAAGAAAGAAAGGGAACUGGAACGUUUGAAAAAAAGCUCGCAAAUUGAAGCUCAUGAAGGAUUUGACAGCUGAACUCAAAGAAGUGCAAGAGUAAUUCAAGAAGACUAAACGGAGGUGUCCGGUAUGGAGGGCAACAUCAAAACUAUAGCAAAAGAAGAGAAUGAAGUGUAUGUGGGCCGUAUUGAAGGAGAUGAGGAAAUUUCUGAUUGCCGCCGAACAUUACAGCUCGAUGCCGAUCAGCUUGCUUCGUUACGGCUAAAAGUGGGCAAAAAGGAGCAAGCUGUUGCGGAAGCUGAAACGCAGAUUGCCAUUCUAAAGCAAGAGACUCAAUCAUCGCCUUGGUCCUCCUGAAUCGAGUCAGCAAACAGUCUUUGCCUGUUCCUGUUCCUGCUGUCGUCUCCAUUACGAGGUGGCUGGGUGUGUCAAAGAAAUCCGAAGAUCAUUUGCAGCAGCACUGUGAGAAUCAAAACUUGAAACAUCGCGUUUUCCCAUUUGGAGAAUCAGCUGCGUGCCUUCCAGGUAGACAAACUCGAAAAGCUAUGCCUACAACAGCAACUGCAACAAUUUCAAAAGGUGUCCUUGUUUGGUCGAAGUAUAGUGGCAACAAGGUCCGAAUGUCUCCUCUUCCGGCCUGAUCAAAGAGUCAGGAGUCAGCUGAUGGCGAAACAGACGGAAACCGCUGCCGUUAUCAACACAGUCAUCUUAUCAACACAUCUGUCACGAAAAAUACAACGCUAAAAUACUCGA